AGAGUUUGAUUCUGGCGUCAGGAUGAACGCUGGCGGCGUGCCUAACACAUGCAAGUCGAGCGGAGAUAAGUGAAGCCUAGCGAUCUUAUCUUAGCGGCGGGUGGGUGAGUAACACGUGGGUAACCUGCCCUGCACUGGGGAAUAACAGCUGGAAACGGCUGUUAAUGCCGCAUAUGCGCACGGAGCCGCAUGGCUUUGGGCGGAAAGAUUUAUCGGUGCAGGAUGGGCCCGCGCCGGAUUAACUAGUUGGCGGGGUAACGGCCCACCAAGGUGAUGAUCCGUAGCCGACCUGAGAGGGUGACCGGCCACAUUGGGACUGAGACACGGCCCAAACUCCUACGGGAGGCAGCAGUGGGGGAUAUUGCACAAUGGGGGAAACCCUGAUGCAGCGACGCCGCGUGAAGGAUGAAGUAUUUCGGUAUGUAAACUUCUAUCAGCGGGGAAGAAGAUGACGGUACCCGACUAAGAAGCCCCGGCUAACUACGUGCCAGCCGCUGC
This 498-nucleotide ribosomal RNA is filed under the name uncultured bacterium. RNAcentral describes it as "bacterial SSU rRNA". It matches the Rfam family "Bacterial small subunit ribosomal RNA", at positions 8 to 518 of the family's 1533-position model. The record is from RNAcentral.